AUACACUGAGAGCUGCUGUGGAAGCUUUUGGUGAGAGUAAUUGGCAGGUUGUUGCUGCUUCCAUUGAAGGACGGACAGUUACCCAGUGCUCCAAUAGCAUUGGUGUAUAAAUAAACAAUGGACAAAGAAUGGAUGUCAAAAGAUAGAUUAUGUUAUGAAUAUGAGGUUGGAGUAGAAUCUUUUUUACAAUUUGCUAAAAAAAAUGCCGUUGAUCCUAAUUCAAUAUCAUGCCCAUGUGCAAUAUGUGGCAACCUAAGGAAGCAACCUCUUGAUACUAUAAGGGCACACUUGUACCGUAAUGGAAUGGAUGGAACGUAUGUGUCAUGGAUAUGGCACGGGGAGAAGGCUACGUUAAACAACUCAAUAGAUGAUGGCGGUCUAAUUAGGGGAGAAGAGCAUAAUCGUGUUGAUGAAAAUCCUAUAGAUAUGGUAAAUGCUGCUUAUGACGAAUACGUUGAGGAUCCCAACAAAUUUAGUAAAUUACUAGAAGAUGCAGAGAAACCGCUAUACGUUGGAUGUACUACGUUUACAAAACUAUCAGCGGUAGUGAAGUUAUAUAACUUGAAGGCAAAAUAUAGUUGGAGCGAUGCAAGUUUUACGGACCUUCUGGAUUUGUUUGCAAAAAUGCUUCCAACUGACAACGUACUGCCUUCUUCUUUAUAUGAGGCAAAGAGAAGCUUGGUUGCAUUGGGAAUGGACUACGAGAAAAUACACGCGUGUCCCAAUGACUGCAUCUUAUAUCGGAAGGAGAAUGCAAAUUGUACUAAUUGCCCUACUUGUGGAACUUCAAGGUGGAAGAUAGGCAAGAAUUCUAAGAUAUCCAUAGGAGUUCCUGCAAAGGUGUUAUGGUACUUUCCACCGAUACCAAGAUUUCAAAGAAUGUUUAGGAGCAAGGAUAUAUCUAAGGAGUUAACUUGGCAUAGUGAUAAUAAAGUUUGUGAUGGUUACUUGCGUCAUCCAGCUGAUGCACCUUGUUGGAGAACAGUAGAUGAAAUGUGGCCAGAUUUUGCUAAUGAGCCAAGAAAUCUUAGAUUGGCUUUAUCUGCAGACGGGAUAAAUCCCCAUAGUGUAAUGAGUUCUACAUAUAGUUGUUGGCCAGUCAUCAUGAUUACAUACAAUCUUCCUCCUUGGAUGUGCAUGAAGCGAAAAUUCAUGAUGCUCAGUUUGUUGAUUUCUGGUCCUAAACAACCCGGGAAUGACAUUGAUGUUUAUUUGGCACCUUUGAUUGACGAUUUAAAAGUGUUGUGGGAAGAAGGUAUAGAAGCAUAUGAUGCAUACCGACAAGAAAAAUUCGUCCUUAAAGCUGUUUUACUAUGGACGAUUAAUGAUUUCCCAGCAUAUGGGAACUUAUCAGGUUGCACUGUCAAAGGAUAUCAUGCAUGUCCUAUCUGUGGUGAGAAUACAUAUGCCAAGAGGUUGAAGCAUAGUAAGAAAAUGGCAUUCACAGGACAUAGAAGAUUUUUAUGUAAAACUCAUCCUUAUCGAAGGCAAAAUAAGGCAUUUGAUGGUAAGCAAGAAUUCGACUUAGCACCCAAACCAUUGAGUGGCCAUGAUGUUCUGAAAACAGUUGAGGGGAUCAAUUGUAGUUGGGGAAAAAACAGUGGCAAGCUAAAUGCUAAAAGAAAAAUUAGUGAAUCAUGUUGGAAAAAGAAAUCAAUUUUCUUUGAGCUUGAGUAUUGGAAGCAUUUGCAUGUUCGGCAUGUUCUUGAUGUCAUGCACAUUGAGAAAAAUGUGUGUGAAAGUAUUAUUGGCACAUUACUUGACAUCCCAGGAAAAACCAAAGAUGGGGUAGCUGCUCGACUAGACCUUGUGGAAAUGAAUGUGAGAAUGGAGUUGGCACCAAAACAAGGGGAGAAGAGAACGUUUUUGCCACCUGCUUGCUAUACCCUAAGCAAAGAUGAGAAAAAGAAAGUUUGUAACUCUUUGUUACAUAUGAAAGUCCCAUCAGGCUAUUCAUCUAAUGUGAGAAACCUUGUCAAUGUGAAGGAGUUGAAACUUGUUGGUCUUAAAUCUCACGAUUGUCACACUUUCAUGCAACAGUUGCUUCCAGUUGCUAUUCGAGGUGUGUUACCCAAACAUGUAAGGUAUGCUAUCACUCGGUUGUGCUUCUUCUUUAAUGUCAUAUGUAGCAAAGUGAUAGAUUCCUCAAAGUUAGAUGCGCUACAAGAUGAGAUUGUGACAACGCUGUGUUUGCUUGAAAAGUACUUUCCUCCUUCAUUUUUUGAUAUAAUGGUUCACUUAACUGUUCAUCUUGUGAGAGAGGUCAAAUUGUGUGGACCAGUGUGGUAUAGAUGGAUGUACCCAUUUGAAAGAUAUAUGAAAAUCUUGAAAGGUUAUGUGCGAAAUCGCAAUCGACCAGAAGGUUGUAUAGCCGAGUGUUAUAUUUCUGAAGAAGCUAUAGAAUUUUGCUCAGAGUAUUUGACUAAUGUACAAACAGUUGGGAUCCCAUCAACAUUUCAAGAAGUGGUGCGAACUCGGCCUUUAUCAGGUGCUCAAGUGCAAUCCAUUAGCCAAGAGGAGUGGGAGCAAUCACAUCGUUAUAUUUUGGCAAAUGAUGUAGAAAUAGACCAAUAUGCCAAGGAACACAAGGCACAUUUGAAGGCUUCAUUGCGCGGUAAAGUUAGGACAGAGAAGGGGCUACUUGAUGAGCAUAACCGCACAUUUAUUAAUUGGUUACGUGAUCGUGUUGGAAGAGCAAUAAAUGAUUCCACCCAUGAAAUAUCAGAAAGACUAAAAUGGUUGGCACAUGGUCCUCGGAACCAAGUGUUAAAGUACUCUGGUUAUUUAAUUGAAGGAGUUACUUUUCAUACCAAAGAUCGUGAUAAUUUGCGAGCUGUCCAGAACUCAGGCGUAAGCUUAGUUGCAAAUAUAAUGCAAGUUUCUAGUGCAAAGGAUAAGAACCCCAUUGAGUCAGAUAUGGUAUUUUAUGGAGUUAUUGAUGAAAUAUGGGAGCUUGAUUACCAUACCUUUCGAGUUCCUGUGUUCAAAUGCAAUUGGGUUGAGAAUAACAAUGGUAUUAAAGUAGAUGAUCUUGGUUUCAAAUUAGUAAACCUCGAUAGGAUUGGAUUCAAAUCUGAUUCUUUUAUCUUAGGGAGUCAAGCCAAGCAAGUAUUUUAUAUUCAAGACCCUCAAGAUCCUAUAUGGUCUGUCGUGCUCGCAACUCCUAGUCGGGAUUACUUUGAAUAUCAAGAUGGGAAUGAAAUGGAUGAACCAAUAAUCCAUCAUCAAUGCUUUACGAAAGGGAUGCCAGAUGUUGACGUUAAAGAUGAGAGUGAACCACCAUGCAUUCGAGAAGAUUGUGAUGGGACAUGGGUUGAGAAUAGGAACUCGUAGCAAGUUUCUAGUGUAUAAUUACUUUUCAAACCUCAUAUUUUAAAUAUGACUUUGUUUGCGGGGUCUAUGGCUGGUCGAAGAAAGAAAAAAAUUGUACAACAGGAACAAAAGGGACAAGAAGUACAUAGUGACGAAGAACAUAAUGGAAAAGAGGUUCAGGUAGAUGAGGAAGAAAACAUGUCGGGUUCUCAAGAAACCCAGUCAACGAGGAGCACACGAGGUCGUACCCAAAUGCAUAAGCUUGCUAUGCAAAGGGCACAAGGACUGAAGAAAGACGUACAAUUCAAUGAACUAGGACAACCAAUUGGAGAUAGUGCUGCAGAACUACAAAGUUACAUUGGUGUCCUUGCAAGAGAAAAGGUGAAGUUGAAUUUUAAGACAUGGAAACAUGUGCCACAGGAUAUUAAAGACAAGAUAUGGGACGCUGUUAAUUUGAGCUUCAGAGUUCCGGCAAUAUUCAAGAAACCUUGCUUGAGUUCAGCAAAUGACAAAUGGCGGCAAUAUAAAACACAACUCACAAAUAACUUUAUUUGGAAGAGACUGAAUGAUGAAGAAAACUUGCACAAACCACCCCCAGGAUAUGGUAUUAUGGGAGAUGAAUGGAGUCAAUUUGUGAUUAGCCGCAUGUCCGAAGACUUCAAGAAACUAAGCGAGCAGCAAAAGGUACAAAGAAAGCAAAACCUUUAUCCACAUAGGCUUGCUCGUAAAGGAUAUGCGCGUCUUGCUAGUGAAAUUUCAACAGAAUUGUGUGAUGAUGACGAAGUGAAUAGAGCUAUACUUUGGAAGAAAGGGAGAACUAGUAAGCAAGGAGAAAUAGAAGGAGAUGUUUUGAAGACAAAAUUUACAAAGAUUGAUGAAUAUAUUCAGCAAAAGCAAGAUGGUUUGUUGCAACUUCAAGGACCAAAUGAGGACAUCCUGACACAGGCUCUUGAAUCUAAGGAGCAUGGAGGUCGGGUGAGGGCUAUAGGUGGACAUGUCAAUCCCUCAACAUAUUUCAGAUUGGGUAAAGGGAUGCUUCCUAACCAUGAGAAAAAUGUCCUUCUAAGACGACAAGCAACAGUAGAAGACAGAGUUGCAAAGUUAGAAAAUUUGGUCCUUCAAAAUGUUGCUUUUAAAUCAUCUUCGAUUGAAGAAAAAGGGAGUUGUACUGCAAAGGAUGCAAAGGGUGCGAUGAAGCUGAGUGAAGAAGAAAUUGGUUUUAUGAAACAAAAAUUGGAUUUCGAAGAUGAUGAUGAUGAGCUGCAGUUUAUUGACAAAGAAGAUGUCUUGGAGAAACAAUGUAAGAAGAAACCGAGCAAGGAAGUCAAAAAGCUUGAGUUGAACUCCUCAAGUAUGCCUAAGUCAUUAUGGCUACUAUACUGUUAUUACAAGCGUGCACUUGGGAAUGGAGAGAGUUUAAAAAUCGUGCUAGAUGAAAAUGUCUUCGGGGAAGAAUGUACUCUAUAUGUGCACGACGAAGAUGUGACUCCGUUUUGUCAAUUGAUGCCAAUAUCGUACACAUGUAUUGCUGUGUACAUAUGGUAUUUGUAUAAAAAGAUGAUGGAAGACAACAAGCUUGAAAAAUUCAGAUUUAUGCAGCCAUGUCAUGUAGGUCAUGUGCCAACGACAAGAACAGAUAAAAAUUUCCUAGACAAACAGUUGGAAAGUAGGGCACGAGCUUUAGCAGACAGACUAAUUGACAAUCCAAGUAGUGCAUCACUUUUGGUGCCAUGUAAUGUAGGUUUCCAUUGGAUUCUGACAGUUAUCAACCUUAGUAAGGAUAUUGUUUAUUUGUGGGACCCUCUUAGUCAUCGCAUUCGCGAUGAUGAUUGGAAACAUGUUGUAGAAAUGGCUAUUAAAAUGGUUCAUGCGGCCUCUGGGAAUGGAAAGAAAGGACGAAGUAAAACUGCUUGGGAAAUUGUCAAGGCUCCUCGUCAGCCGGAUAGUAACCAAUGCGGUUUCUAUGUCAUGGCUUACCUGAAGACUUUAAUUGAGAACAUGCCGGACAUUGAUGAUAAAGAUUCUGUUCAAGCACUGUUCCAACAAGUUGAAUAUGACAAAGCGGUUAUUGAUCUGGUGCGUUCUGAAUGGGCCGAUAUUUUAUCAAGUUAUAUACAGUAGGUAUGAUUUGAUCAUUAGAACGUUGUGAUCUUUUAGACUUCGUGGAAUUGUUUGUUGUAGUAUUAUGAUGACUUCGUCGAAUUGUUUUUUGUAUUAUUAUGACUUGGAUGAUAUUUGAUUCGAUGAGAAUUGGUCAUGGAAGUAUUUACACUUGUUAUUCCAGAACAAAGAUGUUUGAGAUUAUGGAAUAAGAAAUCAAUCGGAAGGAA
This is an RNA transcript of Ipomoea nil (Japanese morning glory), 5642 nucleotides long. RefSeq lists it as uncharacterized. The transcript is spliced from 15 exons. NCBI's taxonomy places the organism in Eukaryota, Viridiplantae, Streptophyta, Magnoliopsida, Solanales, Convolvulaceae. The record is from RefSeq and is a predicted model, not a curated record.